This is a long non-coding RNA of Photinus pyralis (common eastern firefly), 1299 nucleotides long. RefSeq lists it as uncharacterized. Lineage: Eukaryota; Metazoa; Arthropoda; Insecta; Coleoptera; Lampyridae. The record is from RefSeq and is a predicted model, not a curated record. The transcript has 5 exons.
UACGUUAACAUUUAUUUUUACGUUUUUACUUCAAUACAUCAAGAAACAGUUUUUUUAAAAACUACUUUGCACUUGUGGAGAGAUUAAUCGGUUAAAAUGCUGCGAAAUAAACAUCUUAAGUCUCAGGCUCAACUUCUUGUCAUGAAUGUGCUUAAUUAUUUUGAAAGAGAACGAGAUAAUCAGGGCGCAAUGGUUCCAUUUCAAUCUGUUAUGCAGCGCACCUCAGAAGCCUGUGGAGUGAGCAUAAACACGGUUUCUGCUAUAAGAAAGCGAGUGACUGAAGCACAAAAAGAAAAUAAGCCGCCACAAUCACCAGCUAAAAAGAGAAGAUGUACAAAGAGCAAGUCUGAAAACGUGGAGGACUAUGUGAAGGAUGCUGUCAAAAGAAAAAUUUAUGAAAUGCAUUCCAAAUGUAUUCAUGUUACGAUAGCAUCUUUGGCAAAAAGAACUGGCUGAAUGCGAAAUUUUCGAAUUUAGUAAGACGAGUUUAAGGCGCCUGCUACACUCCAUUGGUUUUUCCUUUAAAUUAGAUGAUGGUAGAAAAGCUUUACUUGAACAACCCCAUAUUGCUGCCCAUCGUGUACGGUUCUAAGGGAAUACCACAAAAAUAAAGAAGAUGAACUUUACAAGCCCGUUUUCUUAGAUGAGACUUGGAUUUUCAGUCGAGGUUCACAAAAAAAAAAGUUAGCACAAUGAGGCUAAGGAAAGCACAAAGAAGAGGUCAAUGGGAGAAGGAAAAAGAUUCAUAGUGCUGCAUGCAGGCAAUGAAAAUGGCUUUAUUCCUGAUGCAUCGCUUUUGUUUUCCACAAAAUCCCAAAGUGCUGACUUCCAUGGUGAUAUGUGUGCAGAAUUAUUUACAAAAUGGUUUAAAGACAGUUUAAUUCCUAAUAUAAGUGAGCCAUCGUUAAUCAUCAUGGACAAUGCCAGUUAUCAUUCAAAACUGACGGAAAAAGCCCCAAAUACAUCCUCUAACAAAGAAGAAAUAUGCCAGUAUUUAUUAAAGCAUAAUGUUCCCUAUGAACCGACCAUGUUCAAAAAGGAAUUAUUACAUUUAGUUGUCGAUAAUGCGAAACCAAAGGUGUACGAAAUUGACGAGAUCGCCAACAGCUACGGCCACAGAGUGUUACGAUUGCCUCCAUACCAUUGCCAAUUUAACCCCAUCGAGCUUGUAUGGGGUAACUGCAAAGAAUUUUAUAAUAAAAACAUCGGGCGAAAUAAUGUAAAGUUCGAUGACAACCACGUCAAAGAAAUUUGGACUGAAUCUUUGGGAAGGGUCGAUGGUGAUUAUUGGCAAAAAUG